Molecule: small RNA, 766 nt
Filed under: Pan troglodytes (chimpanzee)
Lineage: Eukaryota; Metazoa; Chordata; Mammalia; Primates; Hominidae
Description: retained intron
Source: RNAcentral
UAUGUAAUUUAAGGGUAUUUAUGAAGAAAUAAAAUAGUAAUUCACUUACUCAUAAGCACCAAUGGUUUCAAUUAAAGCAGAUCAUUUUACCUAAAUACAUGGCAAAUAAAUCUGUUUCGCUAGAUGUCUAAACUGAGUAAAAAUAGACAAUAUUUUGACUUUUUUUCCAGCAAGGAUUUGAAAGAUGCCAUGGAAGUUCUGAUAGCAGAAAAAAGACGCAGGAUUUCCACAGAAGAGAAACUGGAAGAAUGUAUGGACUUUGCCACUGAGUUGAUUUUAGCAGAGAAACGUGGUGACCUGACAAGAGAGAAUGUGAACCAGUGCAUAUUGGAAAUGCUGAUCGCAGCUCCUGACACCAUGUCUGUCUCUUUGUUCUUCAUGCUAUUUCUCAUUGCAAAGCACCCUAAUGUUGAAGAGGCAAUAAUAAAGGAAAUCCAGACUGUUAUUGGUGAGAGAGACAUAAAGAUUGAUGAUAUACAAAAAUUAAAAGUGAUGGAAAACUUCAUUUAUGAGAGCAUGCGGUACCAGCCUGUCGUGGACUUGGUCAUGCGCAAAGCCUUAGAAGAUGAUGUAAUCGAUGGCUACCCAGUGAAAAAGGGGACAAACAUUAUCCUGAAUAUUGGAAGGAUGCACAGACUCGAGUUUUUCCCCAAACCCAAUGAAUUUACUCUUGAAAAUUUUGCAAAGAAUGUUCCUUAUAGGUACUUUCAGCCAUUUGGCUUUGGGCCCCGUGGCUGUGCAGGAAAGUACAUCGCCAUGGUGAUGA